UACGAGUGCCCCAAGCGUUAUCCGGAAUUACUGGGCGUAAAGCGUGUGUAGGCGGUUUGGUUAGUCGCUCGUUAAACCUCCCGGCUUAACCGGGAAAGUGCGAGCGAAACGGCCAGACUAGAGGAGGCGAGGGGUUGAUGGAACUCAUGGUGUAGGGGUGAAAUCCGUUGAUAUCAUGGGGAACACCGAAAGCGAAGGCAGUCAACUAGCGCCUUACUGACGCUGCAACACGAAAGCGUGGGGAUCAAACGGG
RNAcentral lists this ribosomal RNA (253 nucleotides) under uncultured bacterium. RNAcentral's name for it is "partial 16S ribosomal RNA". It matches the Rfam family "Bacterial small subunit ribosomal RNA", at positions 524 to 776 of the family's 1533-position model. The record is from RNAcentral.